Molecule: transfer RNA, 75 nt
Filed under: Candidatus Doudnabacteria bacterium RIFCSPHIGHO2_01_43_10
Lineage: Bacteria; Candidatus Doudnaibacteriota
Also listed under: 5 other names
Description: tRNA-Thr
Rfam family: tRNA
About the family: Transfer RNA (tRNA) molecules are approximately 80 nucleotides in length. Their secondary structure includes four short double-helical elements and three loops (D, anti-codon, and T loops). Further hydrogen bonds mediate the characteristic L-shaped molecular structure. tRNAs have two regions of fundamental functional importance: the anti-codon, which is responsible for specific mRNA codon recognition, and the 3' end, to which the tRNAs corresponding amino acid is attached (by aminoacyl-tRNA synthetases). tRNAs cope with the degeneracy of the genetic code in two manners: having more than one tRNA (with a specific anti-codon) for a particular amino acid; and 'wobble' base-pairing, i.e. permitting non-standard base-pairing at the 3rd anti-codon position.
Source: RNAcentral
GCCGAGAUAGCUCAGUGGUAGAGCAACGCUUUUGUAAAGCGAAGGUCGGAGGUUCGAAUCCUCUUCUCGGCUCCA